GGCCUUCGGGUUGUAAAGGUACUUUCAGUCAGUGAGGAAGGUGGGUAUGGUUAAUAGCAUACUCAUUUGACGUUAGCUGCAGAAGAAGCACCGGCUAACUCCGUGCCAGCAGCCGCGGUAAUACGGAGGGUGCGAGCGUUAAUCGGAAUUACUGGGCGUAAAAGCGCAUGCAGGUGGUUUGUUAAGUCAGAUGUGAAAGCCCGGGGCUCAACCUCGGAAUUGCAUUUUGAAAACUGGCAAACUAGAGUACUGUAGAGGGGGUAGAAUUUCAGGUGUAGCGGUGAAAUGCGUAGAGAUCUGAAGGAAUACCGGUGGCGAAGGCGGCCCCCUGGACAGAUACUGACACUCAGAUGCGAAAGACGUGGGGAGCAAACAGGAUUAGAUACCCUGGUAG
RNAcentral lists this ribosomal RNA (394 nucleotides) under uncultured bacterium. RNAcentral's name for it is "bacterial SSU rRNA". It matches the Rfam family "Bacterial small subunit ribosomal RNA", at positions 413 to 793 of the family's 1533-position model. The record is from RNAcentral.